GCUGUGAUGGCCGAGUGGUUAAGGUGUUGGACUUGAAAUCCAAUGGGGUUCCCCCGUGUGGGUUUGAAUCCCCCUCGCAGCG
This is a non-coding RNA of Malaclemys terrapin pileata, 82 nucleotides long. NCBI's taxonomy places the organism in Eukaryota, Metazoa, Chordata, Testudines, Emydidae. The record is from the annotation of a RefSeq genome assembly.